Molecule: small nuclear RNA, 191 nt
Organism: Neoarius graeffei (lesser salmon catfish)
Lineage: Eukaryota; Metazoa; Chordata; Actinopteri; Siluriformes; Ariidae
Product: U2 spliceosomal RNA
Exons: 1
Source: RefSeq, a predicted model, not a curated record
AUUGCUUUUCGGCCUUUUGGUUAAGGUCAAGCGUGGUAUCUAUUCUUAUCAAUUUAAUAUCUGAUAUGUUCUGUAAAUGAAAAUGUUAUAUCAAGCAGAUUAUUUUUUUUUUUUUUAGAACAGGGAGCUGGAAUGGGGUUUUGCUCCUAUCAACCUGAUAUUGUAGUAUUUUCAGGAAUAAUGCCUUUGCU